UACGGAGGGUGCAAGCGUUAUCCGGAUUUACUGGGUUUAAAGGGUGCGUAGGUGGGUCUGUAAGUCAGUGUUGAAAUCUCCGGGCUUAACCCGGAAACUGCCAUUGAUACUAUAGGUCUUGAAUUAUCUGGAGGUGAGCGGAAUAUGUCAUGUAGCGGUGAAAUGCUUAGAUAUGACAUAGAACACCAAUUGCGAAGGCAGCUCACUACGGAUAUAUUGACACUGAGGCACGAAAGCGUGGGGAUCAAACAGG
RNAcentral lists this ribosomal RNA (253 nucleotides) under uncultured bacterium. RNAcentral describes it as "partial 16S ribosomal RNA". It matches the Rfam family "Bacterial small subunit ribosomal RNA", at positions 524 to 776 of the family's 1533-position model. The record is from RNAcentral.